CCUACGGGUGGCAGCAGUGGGGAAUAUUGCACAAUGGGGGAAACCCUGAUGCAGCGACGCCGCGUGAGUGAAGAAGUAUUUCGGUAUGUAAAGCUCUAUCAGCAGGGAAGAAAAUGACGGUACCUGACUAAGAAGCCCCGGCUAACUCCGUGCCAGCAGCCGCGGUAAUACGGAGGAUGCGAGCGUUAUCCGGAUUUAUUGGGUUUAAAGGGUGCGUAGGCGGGCUGUUAAGUCAGCGGUCAAAUGGCGGGGCUCAACCCCGGCCUGCCGUUGAAACUGGCGGCCUCGAGUGGGCGAGAAGUAGGCGGAAUGCGUGGUGUAGCGGUGAAAUGCAUAGAUAUCACGCAGAACUCCGAUUGCGAAGGCAGCAUACCGGCGCCCGACUGACGCUGAGGCACGAAAGCGUGGGUAUCGAACAGGAUUAGAGACCCCAGUAGUC
RNAcentral lists this ribosomal RNA (439 nucleotides) under uncultured bacterium. RNAcentral describes it as "partial 16S ribosomal RNA". It matches the Rfam family "Bacterial small subunit ribosomal RNA", at positions 338 to 795 of the family's 1533-position model. The record is from RNAcentral.